RNAcentral lists this small nucleolar RNA (132 nucleotides) under Mesocricetus auratus (golden hamster). Its description in RNAcentral is "Small Cajal body specific RNA 24 (ENSMAUG00000004825.1)". It matches the Rfam family "Small Cajal body specific RNA 24". From Rfam's summary of the family: scaRNAs are a specific class of small nuclear RNAs which localise to the Cajal bodies and guide the modification of RNA polymerase II transcribed spliceosomal RNAs U1, U2, U4, U5 and U12. ACA12 belongs to the H/ACA box class of guide RNAs as it has the predicted hairpin-hinge-hairpin-tail structure,the conserved H/ACA-box motifs and is found associated with GAR1. Lineage: Eukaryota; Metazoa; Chordata; Mammalia; Rodentia; Cricetidae. The record is from Rfam by way of RNAcentral.
UGAAUCUUGCUAUAAAAAUGUAUAGAUUCUCCAAGUGAACAAAACUUUUUGUAAACGUCCUAGAGAAAUAUAGCAUUUUUUCUGUUCAUCCUUUGCAAGAAGAGAGGGAGAAUCGUUCCACUGCUGACAUUU